GGAGGUUUGGGUGAGUGGCUUAUACCACCACUUUGCUAAAGUGGCGAACCACAAAGGUUCCGCAAGUUCGAAUCUUGCAGCCUCCG
RNAcentral lists this transfer RNA (86 nucleotides) under Paludibacteraceae bacterium. RNAcentral's name for it is "tRNA-Ser". It matches the Rfam family "tRNA". From Rfam's summary of the family: Transfer RNA (tRNA) molecules are approximately 80 nucleotides in length. Their secondary structure includes four short double-helical elements and three loops (D, anti-codon, and T loops). Lineage: Bacteria; Pseudomonadati; Bacteroidota; Bacteroidia; Bacteroidales; Paludibacteraceae. The record is from RNAcentral.